This 253-nucleotide ribosomal RNA is filed under the name uncultured bacterium. RNAcentral describes it as "partial 16S ribosomal RNA". It matches the Rfam family "Bacterial small subunit ribosomal RNA", at positions 524 to 776 of the family's 1533-position model. The record is from RNAcentral.
UACGGGGGGAGCAAGCGUUGUCCGGAUUUAUUGGGUUUAAAGGGUGCGUAGGCGGCCCGUUAAGUCAGUGGUGAAAGCCUCCAGCUCAACUGGAGAACUGCCAUUGAUACUGACGGGCUUGAGUACAGACGAGGUGCGGAGUUGAAUGGUGUAGCGGUGAAAUGCAUAGAUACCAUCAAGAACUCCCGAUUUGCGUAGGCAGCUAACUAGGCUGUAACUGACGCUGAGGCACGAAAGCGUGGGAGCGAACAGG